AUGUUAUGUGAGCCAGACUCCCUUUGUACACGUGUGCUGAAGGCGAGGUAUUUCCCUUCUGGCGAUCUUCUAAAUGCUGAAUUGAAAAAGGGUUCUUCGUAUACCUGGCAAAGCAUACAUGCAGGCAUCCAAUGUCUUAGGAAAGGGUAUAUAUGGCGGGUGGGAGAUGGUACGGAAAUAAACAUAUGGGAUGAUCCGUGGAUUCCCAAUAGCCCGUCAAGGAAGGUUUUGACUGAGCGACGGAAUAUUGUGCUUACGUCAGUCUCAGAAUUGAUCAAUCCGGAUGCGAAGGAAUGGGACGAACAGCUAGUAAGGAGCCUCUUCUUGCCAGUUGAUGCGGCAAGAAUUCUUAACAUUCCCCUAGCAGUUGGUUAUAUGGAGGAUUUUGUUGCUUGGAAUCAUACCAAAUCGGGCCUAUUUACCAUCAGGUCCGCUUACUACACCGAAUGGGAGUUUCAGCAUGGGAGGAAAUUGGCUAGGACGAGCCCUCCGAGCACCACUGCUGUGAAUCCUGUCUGGCAGCAAGUGUGGAAACUUCAAGUCCCGGCAAAGGUAAAGAUUUACUGUUGGAGGGUCUUGCAUGGGACUAUUCCAUGUAAUAGUAUUCUCGCUAAUCGACACAUACAAGACCAGUAG
Molecule: ribosomal RNA, 636 nt
Filed under: Triticum aestivum (bread wheat)
Lineage: Eukaryota; Viridiplantae; Streptophyta; Magnoliopsida; Poales; Poaceae
Description: partial small subunit ribosomal RNA
Source: RNAcentral